RNAcentral lists this unclassified non-coding RNA (391 nucleotides) under soil metagenome. RNAcentral's name for it is "partial contains 5.8S ribosomal RNA, internal transcribed spacer 2, and large subunit ribosomal RNA". The stretch from base 1 to 122 matches the Rfam family "5.8S ribosomal RNA", at positions 35 to 154 of the family's 154-position model. The record is from RNAcentral.
GAUGAAGAACGCAGCUAAAUGCGAUACUUGGUGUGAAUUGCAGAAUCCCGUGAACCAUCGAGUCUUUGAACGCAAGUUGCGCCCGAAGCCAUUAGGCCGAGGGCACGCCUGCCUGGGCGUCACACGUCGUUGCCCCCCCAUCUACUCCUUCGGGAUUGCGGGGGGCGGAUGAUGGCCUCUCGUGCGCCUCGUCGCGCGGUUGGCCUAAAUGCCAAGUCCUCGGCGACGCACGCCACGACAAUCGGUGGUUGCGAAACCUCGGUUGCCUGUCGUGUGCGGUCGUCGCGCAUCGAGGGCUCGAAAAAAUUGCCGGGCUUCGGCUCGACUUUCAACGCGACCCCAGGUCAGGCGGGGUUACCCGCUGAAUUUAAGCAUAUCAAUAAGCGGAGGA